GCAAGUCGAACGGUAACAGGAAGUGCUUGCACUUCGCUGACGAGUGGCGGACGGGUGAGUAAUACUUAGGGAUCUGCCCUUUGGAGGGGGAUAACCAUUGGAAACGAUGGCUAAUACCGCAUAUUGCCUACGGGCAAAAGGGGGCUUUCGGGCUCUCGCCAAAGGAGGAACCUAAGCGAGAUUAGCUAGUUGGUGAGGUAAAGGCUCACCAAGGCGACGAUCUCUAGCUGUUCUGAGAGGAAGAUC
RNAcentral lists this ribosomal RNA (246 nucleotides) under uncultured bacterium. RNAcentral describes it as "partial 16S ribosomal RNA". It matches the Rfam family "Bacterial small subunit ribosomal RNA", at positions 57 to 305 of the family's 1533-position model. The record is from RNAcentral.